GCCCGGGUGGCGAAAUUGGCAGACGCGUACGGUUCAGGGCCGUAUGCCGCAAGGCAUGGGAGUUCAAAUCUCCCCCCGGGCA
Molecule: transfer RNA, 82 nt
Filed under: Patescibacteria group bacterium
Lineage: Bacteria
Description: tRNA-Leu
Rfam family: tRNA
About the family: Transfer RNA (tRNA) molecules are approximately 80 nucleotides in length.
Source: RNAcentral